RNAcentral lists this long non-coding RNA (803 nucleotides) under Heterocephalus glaber (naked mole-rat). Its description in RNAcentral is "lncRNA (ENSHGLG00000039025.1)". The record is from RNAcentral. Lineage: Eukaryota; Metazoa; Chordata; Mammalia; Rodentia; Bathyergidae.
GCAGCUACGUCUCCGGGCAAACUUCAAUCCCAGUGCGCGCCAGAGCAGAUCUCGCCUGCUGCUCCAGGACCCAGGGUGCCUACAUGCUUCUGUGAUGUGGUUCCAGAUGUUAGCAUACUCACUUCCAACAUGGAUAGAGGAAAGCCAAUGAAGGAUCUCACAGGAAACUCGAGGAGCCUAGAAGGCCAUUAUUCAGCACCAUGAGGAUUACUUGAACACAGGCACUGUAGUGCUGCAACAGUCAUCUGAGACACCACUCAGUGACCAACAGUGAGUGGCAGCAUAUACGGUGUAGAUACGUCUUGUAAACAGGUGGUUCAUCCAGGACAGAGUGAUUUCAUCACACUAUCAGAAUGAUGCACAGCUGAAAUGUAUGGGUUGUUUGUUUCUGGGAUUAUGUAUUUAAUAUUUUCAGACUGCAGUUAACUGUGGGUAACUGAAACCACAGAAAGUAAAAUUGUGGGUAAGGGGAGGUAACUGUAUGGUUUGUGGAUUGUAGUUAAGGUAGAAAUAUGUAGAAUUAACUAAAGACAACAGAGCCAACAAUGCCUUCUCUAUGCCGGCAGAUCAUAGAGUGCUGUAAGAAUAAGAAAAUAAAAUCAGAGGGAGUGUCUGUGUGAAAAGAUAGAAAAGAAUAAAAUGGAAAAGGCAUAAUUUGUACCACUUAAAUCUGUGCCUUUAUCUUUUACCUUCUGAUUGUGACCGUAAGUGAUAAAUCAAGAUAAUAAAAGCUGAUAAAUGUGUUGCCUUUAUCUUUCCCACUGGAGAGGUGAAGGAAGAUGGAAGAACACAUGCAAAACAAC